This 347-nucleotide ribosomal RNA is filed under the name uncultured bacterium. RNAcentral describes it as "partial 16S ribosomal RNA". It matches the Rfam family "Bacterial small subunit ribosomal RNA", at positions 373 to 710 of the family's 1533-position model. The record is from RNAcentral.
GGGCGCAWKYNCUGAUGCAGCNCMUGCCGCGUGUAUGAAGAAGGCCUUCGGGUUGUAAAGUACUUUCAGCGGGGAGGAAGGGAGUAAAGUUAAUACCUUUGCUCAUUGACGUUACCCGCAGAAGAAGCACCGGCUAACUCCGUGCCAGCAGCCGCGGUAAUACGGAGGGUGCAAGCGUUAAUCGGAAUUACUGGGCGUAAAGCGCACGCAGGCGGUUUKUUAAGUCAGAUGUGAAAUCCCCGGGCUCAACCUGGGAACUGCAUCUGAUACUGGCAAGCUUGAGUCUCGUAGAGGGGGGUAGAAUUCCAGGUGUAGCGGUGAAAUGCGUAGAGAUCUGGAGGAAUACC